This 2273-nucleotide long non-coding RNA is filed under the name Malus domestica (apple). RNAcentral's name for it is "long non-coding RNA (MDOM_LNC005563)". The record is from RNAcentral. Lineage: Eukaryota; Viridiplantae; Streptophyta; Magnoliopsida; Rosales; Rosaceae.
AUAGUUUAUUCAUGUCUACUAUCCAAUGUGAUUCUCUUACUUAUAUGAUUACCUUGAAUGUGAUUUGGAAUGACUUCCUAAAUCUUAUUCAUACUCUGGCUAGAGAUUCUUAAUCAUAUCAUAGAGUAUUCUCCCUCAAACAGUUUGAAGGUUAGAGAUCCUUUGUUGUGCAUUCACUUGCCUCCAUAGCUAAGUGGUUUAACCCCAACUAUGUCGUGGACACCCUCUGACGGAGUGACUUUGACAUAGUCAAAGAUUAGGGACCUAACCACAAGACGACUAUGAUGCCUCAGGUCAAAGGACUACUUUUCAUUAUCCCAACCAUGAGUUCUCAUGUGACAUGAGUAUGAGAACUCCUCGUUGAUCGUGUUCAGUGGACUCAUUCUCUAUUAAGCACCUACAAGCUUGUCUUGGUGUCAAUCACACCAAUAACUUGAGACCAGUCACUCUCCCUGAGAGAAGACACAGCACGUACUGAUCUUAACGGAUUGUCAAUGCCCAAUUGGCAAUCCUAUGAUCAGGAAUGUUUAGGAUAUGUAUACGAAAGAGAAUGGUUUCAUGAAUCUAACUUCUUUAAAUUACAUUCUCCUAAUUACAUAUUCCUUGGACUUAUCGUUUAAGCAUAUAACAUUUAUAUGAGACGGCUUAAAACAAUAAUCUUUUCCCUUAAUAUUAAACUAUAUUAGUUUAACAUGUGAAAUGUCCGUAAAGUAUCAUCAUAUGAUUGAUUUUAGGGCACAUUUCCAACAAUCUCCCACUUGCACUAGAGCCAAUCAGCUUGGUCAUCAAUGAUGAUACCUCUUCUAUAGUCAUUUCAAAAAUGGCUGAGUAGUAGGCCUAGACAAUGGAUAUCUAUAUGUUAUCCAUAGAAGCAACGUUGAGAAUAACGACGUCACCAUUAUACAUGAUUCUUAAUCAUGUGGUUUAGUCUCUCAUUUGAGUUCGGAUCAUGAUGAGACCUUGAUUCCCUGACUUGAGCUAUCACCCCAUUAGUGUCGUAGUGUCGGUACACUAAAGACAUUUUCUGGUUGGAACCAAAUAGAGAGUUCAUGAAUGAACUUUCUCAUCCAAACAACAUUGUUGUAAGCUUCUAUAUGGCAGUAUAUUUUGCAUUCACAAUGGAACACAGUAAAGUCUUUACUUUUAAUGUUUCCAUCCAAAUAUCUCUUUAGUCAUAAUAAAGAGAUAUCUGAUUAUCUCUUCAUUCAUAAUGAAGAAACAUCCAAUGAUGGAUUAGAUUCAUAAUCUAAUACAUUUACACUUCCAUUACGUUACUCUAAUUCUUCCUCAUUCUUGAGGAAUCCAUCCUUUAUUAUUUCUCAAAUACUUAAGGAUUCACUUGACAGCUGACAUGGUUCUGAUCCUGGGCUUGCAUUGAUAUCGUCUUGUACCGAUCUUGGUACAACUCAUAUCAACGUUUUUCAUACAAUAUGAAAUACAUAAAUCGCCUUUUUGCGUAUACAUAAAGGAUUCUAUUUACGCAUUAUUUCUUUGGGAGUCAAAGGGUACGUUCCCUUUGAGAAGAGCUACCUCCUAGUCUUACUAGAGUUGUUUUUCUGAUUGAAGUUUAUCAUCAUAUGAGAAACUUCCUGGCAUCUUUUGUCUAUCAUUAGGGCUUGAUAUAAUCCAAUUAUAUCCUGAAAUCUAUCAUUAUAGAUUUCCAUCCCAUGUUUAUGGCACCAAAUUUUAGCUCCAAAAUUCAUGCUCAUAUGAACUACAUCUACAACAUUUGAGAUGGCAAAUUUUCUAACAAAAUUUACAUUCAAAGAAGCAAGAAUAAAGCUUGUAACAAUUACAACAUUCAAAUCAUAAACUAUGAAAAUACAAAACCCAAAAGGACUCACCAACUACUAGACCUAGGCCCUUGAUACCACGUGAAGGAAAUUUUGUGAAAAACAUGUUCAUUUGAGCAACAUCUAUGGCAUCCAAUUAACAAUUAAAGGCGGAAUCAUGCUUAUAUGCACUCAAAAACAAAAAAUUACCCAUGAAAUUCAAAGCUUAGUAGAAGGGUGAACCAAGACUCAACUCAAAACAAAGUGAGUUGAGAAACUUUAUACCUUUGUUGAUUCCUCUUUGCAUAAGCAAAGGCUAAUCACCCAAGGAGAGGGCCUUCAUUCUUGCUUCUUAGCUCCAUGGAUUUUUUGGAUGAGAAUGGUUAAAAGGAUUCUCCCAGUUCCCAAAGUUGAGAACCUCUAAGUCUAUACACCAAGGUAGGACUUGAAGAAGAGAUGAGUGACCUAGAGGAAGUAAGAUUGCUAGCUAAAAUCCUCUAG